Molecule: ribosomal RNA, 389 nt
Filed under: Necrosciinae sp. PNG 1
Lineage: Eukaryota; Metazoa; Arthropoda; Insecta; Phasmatodea; Lonchodidae
Description: partial 12S ribosomal RNA
Source: RNAcentral
UAAACUAGGAUUAGAUACCCUAUUAUUUUAUUUAUAAAUUAUUACCUGGAUAAUAAUAGUUAUGUUCUUUAAAUCUAAAGAAUUUGGCGGUGUUUUAUUCUUUUUAGAGGAAUUUGCCCUUUAAUCGAUAGUCCUCGUUUUAUCUAGCUUUAUUUAUUGAUAGUAUGUAUACCGCCGUUAUAAGUUUAUUUUAUUAGAAUUAAAAAUUUACAUUAUAUUUAAUUUUAUAUUAUUUCAGGUCAAGGUGCAGCUUAUAAUUAAGUUGAGGUGAAUUACAAUAUUAUUUGAUUAAUACGGAUUUAUAUUUUAAAAAUAUAUUGAAGGUGGAUUUAAUAGUAAUUUAAAUAAUAAUAUUUUUAUGAUUUUAGCUCUAAAAUAAGUACACAUCG